This is a long non-coding RNA of Pseudopipra pipra, 430 nucleotides long. RefSeq lists it as uncharacterized. The record is from RefSeq and is a predicted model, not a curated record. Lineage: Eukaryota; Metazoa; Chordata; Aves; Passeriformes; Pipridae. The transcript is spliced from 3 exons.
CCAGGUACGUGCACUGCGGGGGACACGGGGGGCUGGCACCUGCAGCGCUCAGGGUACCCUCCCCUGCAGCCACUCGGGCCCAGGAAGGGAUAUGGGGGGGCUGAGACCUGGCACACUCAGUGCACCUUCCUCUGCCCCAAGCAGGUGCACUGGGAGGGAUAUGGGGGGGCUGAGACCUGGCACACUCAGUGCACCUUCCUCUGCAGUCACCUUGGCCCAGGAAGCCGCUCUGGAGGGCACGUGGACAGGCUGAGACCUGGCACACUCAGUGCACUGUCCCCAAGAGCCACCCUGGCCCAGGCAGGUGCUCCGGAGGGGGUGUGAGGGGCUGAGACCUGACACACUCAGUGCACCCUCCCCUGCGGCCGCCCUGGCCGCAGCACGGUCUCACCUGGACUUUGUCCCCGGGCUGGUGGGUGGCAGCGGGGAC